RNAcentral lists this ribosomal RNA (253 nucleotides) under uncultured bacterium. RNAcentral's name for it is "partial 16S ribosomal RNA". It matches the Rfam family "Bacterial small subunit ribosomal RNA", at positions 9 to 244 of the family's 1533-position model. The record is from RNAcentral.
GAGUUUGAUCUUGGCUCAGGAUGAACGCUGGCGGCGUGCCUAACACAUGCAAGUCGAACGAAGCAAUUAAGAGGAAGUUUUCGGAUGGAAUCUUGAUUGACUGAGUGGCGGACGGGUGAGUAACGCGUGGAUAACCUGCCUCACACUGGGGGAUAACAGUUAGAAAUGACUGCUAAUACCGCCUAAGCGCACGCUACCGCAUGGUAGUGUGUGAAAAACUCCGGUGGUGCGAGAUGGAUCCGCGUCUGAUUAG